UGGAUACCAUUAUCAGAACUGGACUAAA
Molecule: small RNA, 28 nt
Filed under: Bombyx mori (domestic silkworm)
Lineage: Eukaryota; Metazoa; Arthropoda; Insecta; Lepidoptera; Bombycidae
Description: ovarian small RNA-34635
Source: RNAcentral